RNAcentral lists this ribosomal RNA (453 nucleotides) under uncultured Paraprevotella sp. RNAcentral's name for it is "partial 16S ribosomal RNA". It matches the Rfam family "Bacterial small subunit ribosomal RNA", at positions 341 to 792 of the family's 1533-position model. Lineage: Bacteria; Pseudomonadati; Bacteroidota; Bacteroidia; Bacteroidales; Prevotellaceae. The record is from RNAcentral.
ACGGGAGGCAGCGGUGAGGAAUAUUGGUCAAUGGGCGAGAGCCUGAACCAGCCAAGUAGCGUGAAGGACGACGGCCCUACGGGUUGUAAACUUCUUUUGUUCGGGAAUAAAGUGCGGGACGUGUCCCGCUUUGCAUGUACCGUUCGAAUAAGCAUCGGCUAAUUCCGUGCCAGCAGCCGCGGUAAUACGGAAGAUCCGACCCUUAUCCGGAUUUAUUGGGUUUAAAGGGAGCGUAGGCGGCCUUUUAAGCCAGCGGUCAAAUGUCAGCGCCCAACGCUGGCCUGCCGUUGAUACUGAUGGGCUUGAAUACACACAAGGAAGGUGUAAUUCGUCGUGUAGCGGUGAAAUGCUUAGAUAUGACGAAGAACUCCGAUUGCGAAGGCAGCCUUCUGGAGUGCGAUUGACGCUGAGGCUCGAAAGCGCGGGUAUCAAACAGGAUUAGAUACCCUGGUA